This 253-nucleotide ribosomal RNA is filed under the name uncultured bacterium. Its description in RNAcentral is "partial 16S ribosomal RNA". It matches the Rfam family "Bacterial small subunit ribosomal RNA", at positions 524 to 776 of the family's 1533-position model. The record is from RNAcentral.
UACGUAGGGUGCAAGCGUUGUCCGGAAUCAUUGGGCGUAAAGAGCGUGUAGGCGGCUCGAUCAGUCCGCUGUAAAAGUCCAGGGCUCAACCCUGGGAUGCCGGUGGAUACUGUCGAGCUAGAGUCCGGAAGAGGCGAGUGGAAUUCCUGGUGUAGCGGUGAAAUGCGCAGAUAUCAGGAGGAACACCAAUGGCGAAGGCAGCUCGCUGGGACGGUACUGACGCUGAGACGCGAAAGCGUGGGGAGCAAACAGG